GGGCACCUACGGGGGCCUUUAACAUCAGGGUCGCGCAAGUGGCCCGCCAAGCAAACGGAAGAAGCUAA
Non-coding RNA from Roseobacter sp. CCS2, 68 nucleotides. Lineage: Bacteria; Pseudomonadati; Pseudomonadota; Alphaproteobacteria; Rhodobacterales; Roseobacteraceae. The record is from Rfam.